GACGAACGCUGGCGGCGUGCUUAACACAUGCAAGUCGAACGGAAAGGCCCUGCUUUUGUGGGGUGCUCGAGUGGCGAACGGGUGAGUAACACGUGGGUAACCUGCCCUUGACUUUGGGAUAACUUCAGGAAACUGGGGCUAAUACCGGCUAGGAUCUACUGCUGUAUGGUGGGGGUUGGAAAGUUUCGGCGGUUGGGGAUGGAAUCGCGGCCUAUCAGCUUGUUGGUUGGGUAGUGGCUUACCAUGGCAUUGACGGGUAGCCGGCCUGAGCGGGGCACCGGCUACAUCGCGCCGGAGCUGCGGCACAGCCCCCUACGGGAGGGAGCAGUGGAGAAGAGUGCAUUAUGGGAGGAAGCCUGGUGCAGCAAAGCCGUGUGGGGGAUGACGUCCUUCGGGUUGGAAUCCACAUUCGCCUUUGACGAAGCGUUAGUGACGGUAAUGGGUAAAGAAGCACCGGCUAACUACGUG
RNAcentral lists this ribosomal RNA (468 nucleotides) under uncultured bacterium. Its description in RNAcentral is "partial 16S ribosomal RNA". It matches the Rfam family "Bacterial small subunit ribosomal RNA", at positions 28 to 507 of the family's 1533-position model. The record is from RNAcentral.